UACGGAAGGGGCAAGCGUUGUUCGGAAUUAUUGGGCGUAAAGGGCGCGUAGGUGGUUGGGCAUGUCCGCUGUGAAAGUACACAGCUCAACUGUGUCCCGUCGGUGGAAACUGCUCAACUUGAGGCUGGAAGGGGCUGGUGGAAUUCCCUGUGUAGCGGUGAAAUGCGUAGAGAUGGGGGAGAACACUCGUGGCGAAGGCAGCCAGCUGGACCAGUCCUGACACUAAGGCGCGACAGCGUGGGGAGCAAACAGG
RNAcentral lists this ribosomal RNA (253 nucleotides) under uncultured bacterium. Its description in RNAcentral is "partial 16S ribosomal RNA". It matches the Rfam family "Bacterial small subunit ribosomal RNA", at positions 524 to 776 of the family's 1533-position model. The record is from RNAcentral.